RNAcentral lists this ribosomal RNA (463 nucleotides) under uncultured bacterium. RNAcentral describes it as "partial 16S ribosomal RNA". It matches the Rfam family "Bacterial small subunit ribosomal RNA", at positions 29 to 507 of the family's 1533-position model. The record is from RNAcentral.
ACGCACGCUGGCGGCGUGCCUAACCCCUGCAAGUCGCGCGCAUGAAGUUCCUUCGGGAAUGGAUUUAGCGGCGGACGGGUGAGUAACACGUGGGCAACCUGCCUCAUAGAGGGGAAUAGCCUUCCGAAAGGGAGAUUAAUACCGCAUAAGAUUGUAGUAUCGCAUGAUACAGCAAUUAAAGGAGCAAUCCGCUAUGAGAUGGGCCCGCGGCGCAUUAGCUAGUUGGUGAGGUAACGGCUCACCAAGGCGACGAUGCGUAGCCGACCUGAGAGGGUGAUCGGCCACAUUGGGACUGAGACACGGCCCAGACUCCUACGGGAGGCAGCAGUGGGGAAUAUUGCACAAUGGGGGAAACCCUGAUGCAGCAACGCCGCGUGAGUGAUGACGGCCUUCGGGUUGUAAAGCUCUGUCUUCAGGGACGAUAAUGACGGUACCUGAGGAGGAAGCCACGGCUAACUACGUG